Molecule: non-coding RNA, 23 nt
Filed under: Arabidopsis thaliana (thale cress)
Lineage: Eukaryota; Viridiplantae; Streptophyta; Magnoliopsida; Brassicales; Brassicaceae
Source: RNAcentral
UCGUUGAUCCGGCCAAAUCGACU